Molecule: long non-coding RNA, 220 nt
Filed under: Homo sapiens (human)
Lineage: Eukaryota; Metazoa; Chordata; Mammalia; Primates; Hominidae
Description: HSALNT0163113
Source: RNAcentral
GUUUUACUAUCCUCAACCCUUUUUCAAAAAAAAUACUGAUUACGGCUGCAGAAAAUGAUCUUUUCCCACAGCAGUCGUGUGUAUACUGAUCUUUAACAAUUUGUACUCAUAACCAGAUUUGUUUGGACAAGUCACAGCACUGUGUGUGUCCUGUUUUUGUUUUGUUUUAAAUUUUAUGAUGUCGGCAUAGUUGUUGGAAAAUCCUCCUUCGUACCUGCAG